UGUGUAGGCGGAUGCCUAAGUGCUUUGUGAAAUCCCACGGCUUAACCGUGGAAUUGCUUGGCAUACUGGGUGUCUUGAGCCAUCUAGGGGCGAGCGGAACAGACGGUGGAGCGGUGAAAUGCGUAGAUAUCGUCUGGAACGCCAACGGUGAAAACAGCUCGCUGGGGAUGUGCUGACGCUGAGACACGAAAGCCAGGGGAGCAAACG
Molecule: ribosomal RNA, 207 nt
Filed under: uncultured bacterium
Lineage: Bacteria
Description: partial 16S ribosomal RNA
Rfam family: Bacterial small subunit ribosomal RNA
Source: RNAcentral